Molecule: ribosomal RNA, 279 nt
Filed under: uncultured Paraglomus
Lineage: Eukaryota; Fungi; Glomeromycota; Glomeromycetes; Paraglomerales; Paraglomeraceae
Description: partial 18S small subunit ribosomal RNA
Rfam family: Eukaryotic small subunit ribosomal RNA
Source: RNAcentral
CCAAUAGCGUAUAUUAAAGUUGUUGCAGUUAAAAAGCUCGUAGUUGAACUUCAGGCCUGUCCAGAUGGUCCGCCUUAAUUGGUGUGUACUGUCCUUGGGUGGGUCCUACCUUCUGGCGAAGCGGCAUGGCCUUAGUUGGUUGUGUCGGGGAACCAGGACUUUUACUGUGAAAAAAUUAGAGUGUUCAAAGCAGGCAUAUAUGCUCGAAUACAUUAGCAUGGAAUAAUGGAAUAGGACGAUGGUUCUAUUUUGUUGGUUCUAGGACCGUUGUAAUGAUUA